CUCCAUGUGAUCAGGAGAUCACGAAUUCAAACCGUAAAAACGUCCUUCAUAGCAGAAAUACAAUAUAAUAGACCCUCGUGAUCUGACUUUUUCUCCUAACACAUAAUGAAAGUUUUAGUACAUCAGAUUGACUUUUUUAGAGUUCUCCAAAAUUGCAAGUUCUUUUAACAUACUUAUUGUUCCCCACAUUGACGUAUAAAUAUUUAGCCAAACUAAAAUAUUCCUCAUGAACAACACACCUAAGGUAAGUGCACCAACUCACAACAACGAAGUUGGAGUCAAAAGGGUACUAUUUUUAAUCAAAAUUAUUAAAGGUUACAAACCACGACCUUAUAUUUCCUUUCCAUUCGAGAAGCUUCCUCUUAAAAUCAAGGUCUCAAAACGCUAACUCCGAUCAAUGAUCCAAGCAGCAACAAGAAUACUAACUUCUAACUCCAAUCAAUGAUCCAAGCAGCAACAAGAAUACUAACUUCUCAGGUAAGAUUAUUGUUUCCUUCUCCUCUAAUUUAGUAUUGAUUUUUUUUUUCUCUGUUUUUGUUUGUUUUUCCAGCAAGAAUAAAUAACUUCAAUAGCAGUGAUGGAGUCUCACUACACAAACAAGGAAAAUCAGCGGAAGACAUCAGUUUGGCUCCAACCACGAGAAAAUGCUUUAGAUGAGAACUCUUUUGCGUGGUAAUGAGCUUCAGGUUCCAGAUUGUGCCCAUUAAUACAUGAAAAAUCUGUUGAGAUUUUCUUAUUUACAUUAUCUUCCAUCAAAGAUGAGUAAAAAGAAGAGAGACACUGGAAAGGAAGCAAGAUAAAAUGGAGAAAGAAGAGACAAAUAAGAAGGAUGGGGCUAGGAAGAGAGAAUCAACAUAAGUAUCAAAAGAAGUUUGUCAAGAUCUUAUCAAAGCAUUUGGUCCCAUUGGCAAGAGUGAUGAUCAAGGAAAUAUAACAAGUUGCUGCAAAUCUCCAAGAAGCUUUCAGCAGAGAGGUCCAUACUUUAGAGCAGCUGCCUGUUCUACAAGUAGACCACUCACAUGAUCCUAAAAUAGCAACUUUACUAUUCGCUCCAACAGCCCAAGAUUUGAACUUUUCCGAUAAAGUUCAAAUUUUGCUCCUCAUUCCAACAUAAACCAAAUUCUACAUUAUACCCAAACAAUAAGUACUCCUUAUUCCUAAAUAAGUAGGGCUCGGGUAUAUGAAUCCCCAGGCCUCAGUUCGAAACAAGUUGAGGUCGGUUAUAUGAAUCCCCACAUACGCAAGCAACAUCAACAAGCUUGUAACAAGUUAGUUGUUAGAAGACGAUUGCGCUAUCCUAUGGCAGUUUUAAUUUCUUCCAUACCACGACCAACUUACUGUAGGUUAAAGUUUGCACAAUAAUCUUAUAACAAGUAUAUUACAGAUACCAUGACUAGGGACAUAUUCCAAAAUUCAAAGACAGACUAUUUGAGACUUCCAAAUGGUCAGUUUUUUGUCCUAUUACCUUAGAGUUCAUCUUGUCCCAAAAACUAGCUCAAUUCAAUUCAUUCUGUCUAAAUCUUAUAUUGUUCUGAUCAGUUGUUUAUACCAUUUCGAAGUUCUCUUACAACUCAUAUCCUUGAGGUAAUACAGAAAAAGAAAUGGAUCCAAAUAGUUCUAACACAUUUCUAUUGGUGUCCAUAUUUAGAUAAUAGUAUAAGUCAAUGUAAUAUAUUCACCUAAUAAUAGAAUCACAUGCUAAAUCAUUUAAUCUUAUGUCUAUUCCAGAUUCAAUAUUUUUAUCAAUUAUUGUCGAUAAGGGUGGACAUGAUAUGGUAUAUAUACCGAAUACCAUACUGAAAUCAAAUUUUUUAUAU
This is a long non-coding RNA of Capsicum annuum, 1817 nucleotides long. RefSeq lists it as uncharacterized. Lineage: Eukaryota; Viridiplantae; Streptophyta; Magnoliopsida; Solanales; Solanaceae. The record is from RefSeq and is a predicted model, not a curated record. The transcript has 3 exons.